CUUCCGGAGCUAACGCGUUAAGUAGACCGCCUGGGGAGUACGGCCGCAAGGUUAAAACUCAAAUGAAUUGACGGGGGCCCGCACAAGCGGUGGAGCAUGUGGUUUAAUUCGAUGCAACGCGAAGAACCUUACCUGGUCUUGACAUCCACAGAAYUYUSCAGAGAUGGAUUGGUGCCUUCGGGAACUGUGAGACAGGUGCUGCAUGGCUGUCGUCAGCUCGUGUUGUGAAAUGUUGGGUUAAGUCCCGCAACGAGCGCAACCCUUAUCCUUUGUUGCCAGCGGUCCGGCCGGGAACUCAAAGGAGACUGCCAGUGAUAAACUGGAGGAAGGUGGGGAUGACGUCAAGUCAUCAUGGCCCUUACGACCAGGGCUACACACGUGCUACAAUGGCGCAUACAAAGAGAAGCGACCUCGCGAGAGCAAGCGGACCUCAUAAA
RNAcentral lists this ribosomal RNA (437 nucleotides) under Salmonella enterica. RNAcentral's name for it is "bacterial SSU rRNA". The record is from RNAcentral. Lineage: Bacteria; Pseudomonadati; Pseudomonadota; Gammaproteobacteria; Enterobacterales; Enterobacteriaceae.